AGUGAACGCUGGCGGUAGGCCUAACACAUGCAAGUCGAACGGCAGCACAGUAAGAGCUUGCUCUUACGGGUGGCGAGUGGCGGACGGGUGAGGAAUACAUCGGAAUCUACUUUUUCGUGGGGGAUAACGUAGUGAAACUUACGCUAAUACCGCAUACGACCUACGGGUGAAAGCAGGGGAUCUUCGGACCUUGCGCGAUUGAAUGAGCCGAUGUCGGAUUAGCUAGUUGGCGGGGUAAAGGCCCACCAAGGCGACGAUCCGUAGCUGGUCUGAGAGGAUGAUCAGCCACACUGGAACUGAGACACGGUCCAGACUCCUACGGGAGGCAGCAGUGGGGAAUAUUGGACAAUGGGCGCAAGCCUGAUCCAGCCAUACCGCGUGGGUGAAUAAGGCCUUCGGGUUGUAAAGCCCUUUUGUUGGGAAAGAAAAGCAGCAGGUUAAUACCCCGCUGUUCUGACGGUACCCAAAGAAUAAGCACCGGCUAACUUCGUG
RNAcentral lists this ribosomal RNA (492 nucleotides) under uncultured bacterium. RNAcentral describes it as "partial 16S ribosomal RNA". It matches the Rfam family "Bacterial small subunit ribosomal RNA", at positions 29 to 507 of the family's 1533-position model. The record is from RNAcentral.